ACUACGUUAUUAUAAUAUAGUAUUCGUGACUUCCAAUCACGGGGUCCUGCUUUAGGACGUAGUA
RNAcentral lists this transfer RNA (64 nucleotides) under Chiridota heheva. Its description in RNAcentral is "tRNA-Gly". The record is from RNAcentral. Lineage: Eukaryota; Metazoa; Echinodermata; Holothuroidea; Apodida; Chiridotidae.